CUGAGGCACUGGGACGCAGUUUCAGUGGGGCUGCGCGGCUGCUGGAAGGUCUGGGGGGGCCCCUGGGCCACGCCCAAGCUGGGGCAGCUGCGACCGCGCACUGCCUGUGCCUGGUGCGCCGUGACCUGCGCGCUGUGGCUGCCACCGUAGCCACCAUCACCGCCUGUCACCUGCUGCCUGACAUCCGUGGGGAGCUGUGAGAGUGGGAAUGUCUUUGGGGGGGGGGGGGGGCAGUGCUGGCAGCUGUGGGGAGCUCCUGGCGUUGUUGUUGCAGUGUCACUGACACUGACCUUCAGCACUGUGUCCAAUGGACUCGAGGGUUGUGGUUGUCACUGAUGACAUUCUCAUUGUCACUGCAUUACCAGUGCUGUGUCCCCUUGAGCUGAUGCUGCCAUCAACAGCACUGCCGCUGAUCGCUCAGUGUCCCAGCGAUGUCCCUGUGUCACCUGGCCUGUGGGGACCUUGGCCUCACAGUGACGUUGUCAGUGAAUGGAAGCUCCUGACGAUUGAUUGAUGCAGAAUUCUGUAGUUUUGCCCUGUAUAGGGGAUCUGUGGGUUCUGGCACUGACUAAAGCCCUUUGGAGACAUAGCUGCAGCAAGGACACAGCUUUCACUAGGUGGGUGGCAGUGUGUUCACCCACGGCACUGUGGUCCCAGUGGUCUGAGCAAGGUCCCUUUUGUUGCCCCCCAUGUCCUUGGGCUGUGGUUGUGUCCUGUGCGUCCCUUCCUGCCAUAUGAAUGUCUCCAGCAUCUGGCCACUGUCCCCAAGCUGUGGCUAUGUCCUGUCACCCUAAGUGCCCCUUGGCCUUGUCCUUAGCUCUCUCCUACCUCUGUGUACCCCUCUGAGAACUUCAGCCAGGGACAGGGAGAAGUACAUACGAAUCUCACACCACGGAGCCACAUGGGUCUGUCACGCUGCAUCCUGCCUGGGCUGUCACGUCCUGUGGGACACCAGGGGAUACACCCUGGGUGCUAGUGGGCUUGUGGCACCAAAAUGCCCGGGGCCUGAUGAGGGUCCUGGGGGCUCCUGGCGUCUCCAGAAGGGUCCCAACUGUCCCCAGGGACUGACCUGAGGGGUAGUGGAAAACCAGGAUGAAGGUUCACUUUCCCCAUUCCCCUGUGUUGUGGCAAAGGGGAAAGGUUUUGUGAAGAGCACAGUGGUGUUGGAUUCUGUUCAUAAAGAUUCUAGACCUCAGUUCCCUUCCCGUAUCCAAAUUAGAAUGAAAGAUAGUAUUAACAAUUCAUCUUCUGAGGAAGAACCUCUGAGCACUUGUAACUGGCAGUGCUUUGAUAUUCUAGGUAACCUGUUCCAUAAGGAGUGCUGGGUGAUGCUGACUGAUACUGUCAAUUGUGAGCAUGCUCCACAGAAAGUUUCCCUCUGUGGGAGUGAGGAAACAAAAUGUGGUGAUUCAGUACUGUGGGGUUAUUAUGAGGUUACUAGAGUCUAGGAUUCUAGAGUCUGAGGAUUCUAUGAAUUGAUUAUUGGAGGAUUCUAUGAGGAUGCUAUGAGGAUACCAGCUCCUGUGAUUAUAAGUUCUGUUAUUUCAGAUUCUGUGAUCGUUUCAUGAUUCUAGAUUCCUUGACUCUGUGAUGAUUCUGGGCUUCAGUUGUGUGGUGAUUCUGAUUCCUCACUAAGAGUAUAGAUUCCCAGACUUGUAGCUACGCAAUACGAUGCGUUUCCAUCUCCACUCCUGUGCAUAGUGUGUGGCAUAGUUCUGAGUGCCUGACACAGCCCAAGCAAAAUCAAUUUCUGUAGGUUAUUACUAAAUAAAUAAAUAAAUCAAUAAAUUUCUUGCUUUAGUUUCUGCUCCCUGAUCCAUUUAUUUAUGUUCUCCCUUGCUUCAUAUGUAACUUCCAAACUUGGCAUUUUGCAGAUAAUACCUUUUCCCCCUUUCGUCCUUUGGUGGCCCCUAAUGGUCUCUUCUUUCUCAGUUAGAACAGUUGUCAUGAGCCUAUUCAUAUAGGAAUUUGGGACUGGAGUUCACUCCGUGACUCUUAUCAUAGUUGAUGUCCCUAGUUGCUAUCGUGCAGACUUCACCAAUUUAUAACAGAUGGAUACAGCUACGAUAUACACUCCUAAGAGGGAAGCAGGAAUGUAUAUUUAUUGAUGUAAUGUAGAUAUGCUGUAGUGAUAUGACAGUGACUUAACAAGACUGGAGAUGGCUGGAUACACUUGGUUAUUUUCCACAUAGAGGGCAGGAUUAAACACACACCUACAGGACGCUCUCCUUCUGUGUCAUGAGGAUCAGAGCAGACCCCGUUGCUGUCUGAACUCUUCAAACCACAGAGAUCACAGCAGUGUGAGUCUGACUGCGUCAGCGGAAGAGCUGCCUUCAUGGAGGUGCAGGUGCAGUCGGCCGUUGUGGAAUUCAUCCUGAACCACACUCUUCCACUCCAAAUCCAGCCCAGUCAUUGGAGAUGGAGGAGGCUUGGAAGCACGCUACGUGUGGGAAAUAUACUUGGUGCAGGAAAGGGGAUGUCCUUAGCCAAGGUGCUGGAAAGCUGAAGGAAAACAGAUGAAACUGCAGAUCUAUCAACAAAAACGUAAGCACGUGACACUUGACUUGGCAGGUCUGUGAGAAGGUCAGCUUCCCCGUGUUUGUAUUUCAGCCAUCAUCCUCCGUACUGGAGAGGCUUUAUCCGCUUGGCUUGCUUAAUUGCAGCACAUUUGACAUGCAUGGAUAACCUGUGCAAUAGCGUCCUUGAUCCAGACCCCAUUUCCAUAUUGCAUCUCUUCCCCAAUGGCCUGAGGUGUCAUGGGUGCACCGAGCUGGAAAUAAUUC
Molecule: long non-coding RNA, 2783 nt
Filed under: Gallus gallus (chicken)
Lineage: Eukaryota; Metazoa; Chordata; Aves; Galliformes; Phasianidae
Description: lncRNA (ENSGALG00010018031.1)
Source: RNAcentral